RNAcentral lists this ribosomal RNA (497 nucleotides) under uncultured bacterium. Its description in RNAcentral is "partial 16S ribosomal RNA". It matches the Rfam family "Bacterial small subunit ribosomal RNA", at positions 28 to 507 of the family's 1533-position model. The record is from RNAcentral.
GAUGAACGCUGGCGGCGUGCCUAAUACAUGCAAGUCGAGCGAACAGACGAGGAGCUUGCUCCUCUGACGUUAGCGGCGGACGGGUGAGUAACACGUGGAUAACCUACCUAUAAGACUGGGAUAACUUCGGGAAACCGGAGCUAAUACCGGAUAAUAUAUUGAACCGCAUGGUUCAAUAGUGAAAGACGGUUUUGCUGUCACUUAUAGAUGGAUCCGCGCCGCAUUAGAUAGUUGGUAAGGUAACGGCUUACCAAGGCAACGAUGCGUAGCCGACCUGAGAGGGUGAUCGGCCACACUGGAACUGAGACACGGUCCAGACUCCUACGGGAGGCAGCAGUAGGGAAUCUUCCGCAAUGGGCGAAAGCUUGACGGAGCAACGCCGCGUGAGUGAUGAAGGUCUUCGGAUCGUAAAGCUCUGUUAUUAGGGAAGACCAAAUGUGUAAGUAACUAUGCACGUCUUGACGGUACCUAAUCAGAAAGCCACGGCUAACUACGUG